RNAcentral lists this ribosomal RNA (495 nucleotides) under uncultured bacterium. RNAcentral describes it as "partial 16S ribosomal RNA". It matches the Rfam family "Bacterial small subunit ribosomal RNA", at positions 28 to 507 of the family's 1533-position model. The record is from RNAcentral.
GACGAAUGCUGGCGGCGUGCCUAAUACAUGCAAGUAGAACGCUGAAGGAGGAGCUUGCUUCUCUGGAUGAGUUGCGAACGGGUGAGUAACGCGUAGGUAACCUGCCUGGUAGCGGGGGAUAACUAUUGGAAACGAUAGCUAAUACCGCAUAAUAGCAGUUAUUGCAUGAUAACUGUUUGAAAGGUGCAAUUGCACCACUACCAGAUGGACCUGCGUUGUAUUAGCUAGUUGGUGGGGUAACGGCUCACCAAGGCGACGAUACAUAGCCGACCUGAGAGGGUGAUCGGCCACACUGGGACUGAGACACGGCCCAGACUCCUACGGGAGGCAGCAGUAGGGAAUCUUCGGCAAUGGACGGAAGUCUGACCGAGCAACGCCGCGUGAGUGAAGAAGGUUUUCGGAUCGUAAAGCUCUGUUGUAAGAGAAGAACGAGUGUGAGAGUGGAAAGUUCACACUGUGACGGUAUCUUACCAGAAAGGGACGGCUAACUACGUG